CAGGAAAACCAUCUGAUCCAACAGAAUAUCCAGUCUAUUCUGAGGUGCAGACAGAGAACGCAUCUGGACCUGUUGAUGUGACCUAUGCAAAGAUUGACCUCAAUAAGAAGACCAAGAACAAGAGAGGAUUAACUCCUCCACCAGAGACAGAACCAGUCUAUUCUGAAGUAAUGCCAUGAACAGGAGAACCUUCUUGGAUUCCAGGUUGUACCCUUUUGGUUCGAUACAAAAUCCUUGUGGCAAAGGUUCUACUUGGAACAAAGACAGGUUCUACCUAAUACCAAAAAGGGUUCUACCUGGAACCACAGCAACCAAGGUUUCAUCAAAGGGUUCUUCUUUGUGGACAGCUGAUCAAAGUUCUAAAUAGCAAAACAAUUCUAAGAGUGUUUGUUGUUAUCAACUCCAAAAUGUUGCAGGUCCUUGAGAGAGAUGACAGGGACAAUCAGAUUAGAAGCAGGAGCCACCUGGGAACAUUGAUGUUUAUACCCACUCUACAUGUAGACCACAGCAUGUACAGAAGACAUGAUGUUUACACCCACUCUCCAUGUAGACCACAGCAUGUACAGAAGACAUGAUGUUUAUAUCCACUCUCCAUGUAGACCACAGCAUGUAUAGAAGA
Long non-coding RNA from Esox lucius (northern pike), 619 nucleotides. NCBI's taxonomy places the organism in Eukaryota, Metazoa, Chordata, Actinopteri, Esociformes, Esocidae. The record is from Ensembl.